GUGUCAGCAGCCGCGGUAAUACGUAGGGGGCAAGCGUUGUCCGGAAUUAUUGGGCGUAAAGAGCGUGUAGGCGGCCCGACAAGUCCGCCGUGAAAGUCCAGGGCUCAACCCUGGAAUGCCGGUGGAAACUGUCGGGCUUGAGUUCGGAAGAGGCGAGUGGAAUUCCUGGUGUAGCGGUGAAAUGCGCAGAUAUCAGGAGGAACACCAAUGGCGAAGGCAGCUCGCUGGGACGACACUGACGCUGAGACGCGAAAGCGUGGGGAGCAAACAGGAUUAGAAACCCCAGUAGUCC
RNAcentral lists this ribosomal RNA (292 nucleotides) under uncultured bacterium. Its description in RNAcentral is "partial 16S ribosomal RNA". It matches the Rfam family "Bacterial small subunit ribosomal RNA", at positions 505 to 796 of the family's 1533-position model. The record is from RNAcentral.